GGCUGAAAUUCGCCUUCAUGAAGUCGGAAUUGCUAGUAAUGGCAGGCCAGCAUACUGCCGUGAAUACGUUCCCGGGCCCUUGUACACACCGCCCGUCACACCAUGAGAGUUGGAGAUACCCGAAGCCUAUGAGCUAACUUUUAGAGGCAGUAGUCGAAGGUAGAAUCAAUGAUUGGGGUGAAGUCGUAACAAGGUAAC
Molecule: ribosomal RNA, 198 nt
Filed under: uncultured bacterium
Lineage: Bacteria
Description: partial 16S ribosomal RNA
Rfam family: Bacterial small subunit ribosomal RNA
Source: RNAcentral